AAGGUCACUGCUAUCGGUGUUCGAUUAAGCCAUGCGAGUCGCGAGGGGUAAAGCCCUCGGCGGAGUGCUCAGUAACACGUGGACAACCUACCCAAGAGUCAGGGAUAACCCCGGGAAACUGGGGAUAAUACCUGAUAGGCCAUGACAUCUGGAAUCGAGUUGUGGUUUAAACGUAAGGCUCUUGGAUGGGUCUGCGGCGGAUUAGGUUGUUGCCGGUGUAACGUACCAGCAAGCCUGUAAUCCGUACGGGUUGUGGGAGCAAGAGCCCGGAGAUGGAUUCUGAGACACGAAUCCAGGCCCUACGGGGCGCAGCAGGCGCGAAAACUCUACAAUGCAGGCAACUGCGAUAGGGGAACAUCGAGUGGCAUCCACCAUGGAUGUCUGUCCAAUCGUCUAAAAAACGAUUGUCAGCAAGGGCCGGGCAAGACCGGUGCCAGCCGCCGCGGUAAUACCGGCGGCUCGAGUGGUGGCCGAUAUUAUUGAGUCUAAAGGGUCCGUAGCCGGCUUUGCAAGUCCUAUGGGAAAUCCAGCGGCUUAACCGUUGGGCUUUCAUGGGAUACUAUAUUGCUUGGGACUGGGAGAGGUAGGAGGUACUCAGGGGGGUAGGGGUGAAAUCCUGUAAUCCUUUGGGGACCACCGGUGGCGAAGGCGUCCUACCAGAACAGGUCCGACGGUGAGGGACGAAAGCUAGGGGCACGAACCGGAUUAGAUACCCGGGUAGUCCUAGCCGUAAACGAUGCUCGCUAGGUGUCACGGCAGUCGUGAAUUGUCGUGGUGCCGUAGGGAAGCCGUGAAGCGAGCCACUUGGGAAGUACGACCGCAAGGUUGAAACUUAA
RNAcentral lists this ribosomal RNA (836 nucleotides) under uncultured archaeon. Its description in RNAcentral is "bacterial SSU rRNA". It matches the Rfam family "Archaeal small subunit ribosomal RNA", at positions 20 to 859 of the family's 1478-position model. The record is from RNAcentral.